Vespula pensylvanica (western yellowjacket) is the source of this 2700-nucleotide long non-coding RNA. RefSeq lists it as uncharacterized. Lineage: Eukaryota; Metazoa; Arthropoda; Insecta; Hymenoptera; Vespidae. The transcript has 3 exons. The record is from RefSeq and is a predicted model, not a curated record.
AGUUCGAUCGGACGCCAUUUCCUUCGAAAUCGUUGAUAGUAAUUGAACGACAUUACGUGCGAUUGAAUUCGUAGUUCUAAACUCGAACUAGUUAGAAUUUAAUUUUAUCGCGAUAUCGAUUGCCAAUAGGAUUUUAGAACGACGCACGGAAAAUAACAAUUUCGUUGAAAAAUACGUUUACAUCUUGUUUUUCCUUAGUAGGGUUACGGAAAAAAUCGAACAUCAUUAUAGAGGUUAUUCCUUCAUGAAGCGAUUUUGAAUACCAAUUUGACCAACUAAUACGUAUCAAGUUACCCAAUAUGUCAGUGGAGGAUUAGUGUUUUCAUCCCUCGAAGCCAACGAAGUCAAUAACAUCUCCCGUACCUAAUGGCUAGACUACGUAUAUAAAUUUGGAGAUAUACCAGCUGACAGGGAACUCUUAAUUACCAGCAAGAUUGAUAGAUUCGCCUGAAACAAAGAUACAUCGCCCAAGCAGUAAUAUGAACGACGUAAUAUGGAUCUACUACUAUUCGAGUACCAAAAAUGGCAGAAGAUGGAUCUGACCGCAUGAGGGCGGUUCACUUGUUUUUCCGUUAUAUAAGUUUUAUACGUAUUAUAUGAUCUCAAACAUAUUUAAUUUCAAAUCUUUAUCUUGUGCUUCGGAUAACGUCUUUAGCUUCUAUAUAUAGAUUUUUUCUUCCGUUAUACCUGUGUGUUAUGGAUCCUCUUUUCGUAUGGUUACCGAGUAUUAACGGAGUAUAAUUCUAUCUACUAUCAAGGACUUCUACCAACAACGAAGAGACAGGUUAUAUGAUCUAGGUAUAGAAGCCUUUAGUGGACCAAACGUAUAUAUGAUAUUGUGAGAACGAACUUUAUGGUGUAGGAUAAGAAAUUCUAUAUCCAGAUUCAUGUUCUCUGUGGUAAAAUUCUCUGUGGUGUACUCCGAUAGACGUAUUUAUUCUCGGUGUCUCAAAGCGAGUGAUAUUAGAGAGAAAAAUAUGACAAACGCUGUGAUGUAUAUCCGUCGUAAACAAAUAAAUAAAGAUUUUCCCAUUUUUGAUUAAUUCCCUAUUAUACAAAUAGUACUAUUUGACUUUUUUAAAUUAAUCUAUAUGUAAGAAAAUGCAAUAUAUUUAAGUUUUAAUGAAUUUUUUAACAAAUAUGUGAUAUUUUGUAUUAAUUUCAGAUAACAUAUGAAGUUUACUCCAAUCGACGUAGUGAAAAUUCAAAGCUAUUAAUAUAUUUGGAAAAAAUACUACAGUCAAGUAAAAUACUGAAGUUGCAGAAACGUUGAUUCAAAGUAACCGAUGUUUAAUAAUUUUAUAACAUGUCGAAGUAAAUGGAGAAACAGCCUCUGAGGGCAUAUGAAAUUAGUUUCUCUUAUAUAUAGUAAACGGGUAAAAAGAAUCGUGCUUUUUAAAAGAUAAAAAAAUAAAAAAUAUACGAUAUAGGCCGAUGCAAUAAACGUAUUUUAAUUUCUUUUAAAAUUCAAUCUAAAGUCAAUGUUAAUUAAUACCGAGAAAAGUAAUAUUUGCACAAUUUCUUUCUCAUUACCUUCAGAUAAAGUACGUAGAAAGUAGAUAAAUGUAUUCCUUGUGCAACGUUCUGAUUGGCUGACCUCGCAUCUACUACGUUGAUCAAAUUCGAUAAUGGUUUAAUGCAUAAAUUCAUAGACGAUUUCCCCGGUUAACUUCCUUCAAAUUAAUCUUGCAUAAAUUCUGUCAGGGGUAUGAAGUAAAAUGUUCGCCAUGAGGAAAAUCGGUUAACUUGAAAGAAUACAAUUUGCUUAGUCUACCGAUCAAUUUUCCGCAUUAAUUUUACGCUUCGUAUUUCCAUCAUUUGAGUUAUUAAAUACAGUUGGACUCUCUCAAGGGAAUAAAUGAAACGUAAUUAUAAAUAAUUAAUAUUUGCACGAGCUAAAUAUUCGAGCUUCUAACUCUGCUCGUAUGUAAUUACGUGAAAGGUUGUUAGAACGUUGGAAACGAAGCAUAUAAAGUAACUAGUUUAACGAUGGCUUUGCCUUUGAAAACGUAGCUAAUGAACGUGAACGGAAGCCUUACGAUUACAAUUGGAUUUGUGCUUUGGAACGGAGUAUUAAUUAUUUUUGAAUAUUUUUUACCACAAUGCAUCCAUUAUCGAAAUAUCUACAAACGUUUAAGCACCAUCAGUAAAAUUACAAUUUCGUCGAUGAAUACAGUUCCGCUUUGUUCUUCCGCAUGAUAAGUUUACGAAAGCCAAAGAAAAAAAGAAAUGAAUAUCGUUGGGAAGGUUAUAUACUCCUUUAUAGCGGGAACUUUAAACAACGAAGCUCAACAUCAAUUGACUGCUCAAAGUGACGAGAAAUGUUACCAGAUCUCAACGGGGAAUCAAAUUUAUCAAGUCUACAAUACCAUCCUACAAGAUCAUAUAAGUUAAGUGAAUACGUAUUAUAUGUCAAUAGUUAGUAUCAUCGAACUGUCCUGUUUAUUUUAUUACGAAUUUAUUACAAAUUUGUUUAUCUUCGGAAGCUUAAAAAAAAGAAAGGAAGAGAUAGCUAACUCGAAAUAUUCGAGAAAGUAAAGACUACGUGAGAGUAUCGUUUAUUAAAAAACGAUGAUGAUGAGAAUCGAAAAGAAAGAAGAAUUGUCUAUCUAACGAAAUCGUACGAAAAAGAAAUAGAGAAACAAUAAAAUAUUGGAGGACUUAGAAGCAUAAAGAGGACAAGAAAGGAAGACAAAAACA